GACCGCUGGCGGCGUGCUUAACACAUGCAAGUCGAACGCUGAAGCUUGGUGCUUGCACUGGGUGGAUGAGUGGCGAACGGGUGAGUAAUACGUGAGUAACCUGCCCUUGACUCUGGGAUAAGCCUGGGAAACUGGGUCUAAUACUGGAUACGACAUGUCACCGCAUGGUGGUGUGUGGAAAGGGUUUUACUGGUUUUGGAUGGGCUCACGGCCUAUCAGCUUGUUGGUGGGGUAAUGGCUCACCAAGGCGACGACGGGUAGCCGGCCUGAGAGGGUGACCGGCCACACUGGGACUGAGACACGGCCCAGACUCCUACGGGAGGCAGCAGUGGGGAAUAUUGCACAAUGGGCGGAAGCCUGAUGCAGCGACGCCGCGUGAGGGAUGACGGCCUUCGGGUUGUAAACCUCUUUCAGCACGGAAGAAGCGAAAGUGACGGUACGUGCAGAAGAAGCGCCGGCUAACUACGUG
RNAcentral lists this ribosomal RNA (469 nucleotides) under uncultured bacterium. RNAcentral's name for it is "partial 16S ribosomal RNA". It matches the Rfam family "Bacterial small subunit ribosomal RNA", at positions 31 to 507 of the family's 1533-position model. The record is from RNAcentral.